Molecule: unclassified non-coding RNA, 302 nt
Filed under: uncultured fungus
Lineage: Eukaryota; Fungi
Description: partial contains small subunit ribosomal RNA, internal transcribed spacer 1, and 5.8S ribosomal RNA
Rfam family: Eukaryotic small subunit ribosomal RNA (bases 1-73)
Source: RNAcentral
ACAAACUUGGUCAUUUAGAGGAAGUAAAAGUCGUAACAAGGUUUCCGUAGGUGAACCUGCGGAAGGAUCAUUACAAAGGUUUCAAAUUGUCCGUGGUCUCCGCGCUUUUUCGCUGGGGAUCCACGGCAAUUUCAACCACGAUCAUCCACCCGUGUGCACUCAUUGAACUGUAAUUUUUUAUAGUUCUAAAAAAUCUUUCCAAAGUCUUAUACUGUUGUCUGAUUUUACCAAAAAACAAAAUAAUUAAUAAUACAACUUUCAACAACGGAUCUCUUGGCUCUCGCAUCAAUGAAGAACGCAGC